UCUGCAGCCAUACCACCCUGAAUGUGCCCAAUCUCAUCUGAUUUUGGAAGCUAAGCAGAGUUGGGCCUGGUUAGUACUUGGAUGGGAGAUCAUAGGACAAUCCUUUAUAUAGCUAGGA
RNAcentral lists this ribosomal RNA (118 nucleotides) under Prolemur simus (greater bamboo lemur). The record is from RNAcentral. Lineage: Eukaryota; Metazoa; Chordata; Mammalia; Primates; Lemuridae.